AGUGAACGCUGGCGGUAGGCCUAACACAUGCAAGUCGAACGGCAGCACAGUAAGAGCUUGCUCUUACGGGUGGCGAGUGGCGGACGGGUGAGGAAUACAUCGGAAUCUACUUUUUCGUGGGGGAUAACGUAGGGAAACUUACGCUAAUACCGCAUAUGACCUACGGGUGAAAGCAGGGGAUCUUCGGACCUUGCGCGUUUGAAUGAGCCGAUGUCGGAUUAGCUAGUUGGCGGGGUAAAGGCCCACCAAGGCGACGAUCCGUAGCUGGUCUGAGAGGAUGAUCAGCCACACUGGAACUGAGACACGGUCCAGACUCCUACGGGAGGCAGCAGUGGGGAAUAUUGGACAAUGGGCGCAAGCCUGAUCCAGCCAUACCGCGUGGGUGAAGAAGGCCUUCGGGUUGUAAAGCCCUUUUGUUGGGGAAGAAAAGCAGCAGGUUAAUACCCCGCUGUUCUGACGGUACCCAAAGAAUAAGCACCGGCUAACUUCGUG
RNAcentral lists this ribosomal RNA (492 nucleotides) under uncultured bacterium. RNAcentral describes it as "partial 16S ribosomal RNA". It matches the Rfam family "Bacterial small subunit ribosomal RNA", at positions 29 to 507 of the family's 1533-position model. The record is from RNAcentral.